This is a small nuclear RNA of Myotis lucifugus (little brown bat), 151 nucleotides long. Its record names the gene U4. It matches the Rfam family "U4 spliceosomal RNA". Rfam says of the family: U4 small nuclear RNA (U4 snRNA) is a component of the major U2-dependent spliceosome. The structure of U4 snRNA from yeast and human has been reported. U4 snRNA presents a k-turn RNA motif in the 5p-SL related to recognition of Snu13 protein. The record is from Ensembl. Lineage: Eukaryota; Metazoa; Chordata; Mammalia; Chiroptera; Vespertilionidae.
AGCUUUGCGCAGUGGCAGUAUCGUAGCUAAUGAGGUUUAUCGGAGACUCAAUUAUUGCUAAUUUAAUUCUAUUAGUUGUAGGGUUAGUUUAUUAAAGAAUUUUCUUGUUUCUUGAGGUAGGCCUAUAAUGCUAUGAACUUCCCUCUAAGGA